This 404-nucleotide ribosomal RNA is filed under the name bacterium. RNAcentral describes it as "bacterial SSU rRNA". It matches the Rfam family "Bacterial small subunit ribosomal RNA", at positions 354 to 776 of the family's 1533-position model. The record is from RNAcentral.
GUGGGGAAUAUUGCACAAUGGAGGGAACUCUGAUGCAGCGACGCCGCGUGAGCGAUGAAGGUUUUCGGAUCGUAAAGCUCUGUCCUAAGGGACGAUAAUGACGGUACCUUAGGAGGAAGCCCCGGCUAACUACGUGCCAGCAGCCGCGGUAAUACGUAGGGGGCGAGCGUUGUCCGGAUUUAUUGGGCGUAAAGGGUGCGUAGGCGGCCUUGUAAGUCAGAUGUGAAAUCUCACGGCUUAACCGUGGUAAGCAUUUGAAACUGUGAGGCUUGAGUACAGGAGAGGAGAGUGGAAUUCCUAGUGUAGCGGUGAAAUGCGUAGAUAUUAGGAGGAAUACCAGUGGCGAAGGCGACUCUCUGGACUGUAACUGACGCUGAGGCACGAAAGCGUGGGGAGCAAACAGG